GAUGAACGCUGGCGGCGUGCCUAAUACAUGCAAGUCGAGCGAACAGACGAGGAGCUUGCUCCUCUGACGUUAGCGGCGGACGGGUGAGUAACACGUGGAUAACCUACCUAUAAGACUGGGAUAACUUCGGGAAACCGGAGCUAAUACCGGAUAAUAUAUUGAACCGCAUGGUUCAAUAGUGAAAGACGGUUUUGCUGUCACUUAUAGAUGGAUCCGCGCCGCAUUAGCUAGUUGGUAAGGUAACGGCGUACCAAGGCAACGAUGCGUAGCCGACCUGAGAGGGUGAGCAGCCACACUGGAACUGAGACACGGUCCAGACUCCUACGGGAGGCAGCAGUAGGGAAUCUUCCGCAAUGGGCGAAAGCUUGACGAAGCAACGCCGCGUGAGGGAGGAAGGUCUUCGGAUCGUAAAACUCUGUUAUUGGGGAAGAACAAAUGUGUAAGUAACUAUGCGCGUCUGGACGGUACCUAAGUAGAAAGCCACGGCUAACUUCGUG
This 497-nucleotide ribosomal RNA is filed under the name uncultured bacterium. Its description in RNAcentral is "partial 16S ribosomal RNA". It matches the Rfam family "Bacterial small subunit ribosomal RNA", at positions 28 to 507 of the family's 1533-position model. The record is from RNAcentral.